GUAAAUUUAGUUCUUUAUUUAUUAUUAAUUAAAAUUUACUUUAUUGAAAUAACAUUUUUAAAAUUUAAAGUUUUAUUUAUACUUAAAAUUUCAAUUUAUUAUUAUUUAAUAUGUAAAUAUUACAUUAAAAAUUUAUUUGCAGUUUUUAGUUUUAAAACAUUAUUUAAGUAAGUUUUAGUAAUUAAUUAUAGAUUUAAUAAAAUUUGUGCCAGCAAUUGCGGUUAUACAAAUAAUUCAAUUGAAAUUUAUUGGUUAAUAAUUAAUUUGUUUUAAUUAAUUUAUUAUUAAAAUUUUUAAGUGAAAUUUAAAUUUUAAUAUAAUUUUUUUGUUUAUAUUUGAAGUUAUUAAAAUUAAUAUUAAACUAGGAUUAGAUACCCUAUUAUUAUAAUUGUAAAGUUUAAAUACCAGAUUAGUAUUAGUUGUUUUCUUAAAAAUUAAAGGAUUUGGCGGUAUUUUAGUCUAUUCAGAGGAACCUGUCCUGUAAUCGAUAAUCCACGAUUAGAAUAACUUUUCUUUUUCUUGUAUAUCGUUGUUUUUGAAUAUUUUAUAAGAAUUUAAAUUUUCAAUAAGUAUAUUUUAGUUAAUUUCAGAUCAAGGUGCAGUUUAUAGGAAAGAAGAUGAUGGGUUACAUUAAAUUUAUUUUUGGUUUAAUAUUUUGAAUAAUAUUAUUAAAUUGGAUUUGAUAGUAAUAUUUUAUAUAUUUAUUAUAUGAUUUUAGCUCUAAAAUGUGUACAUAUUGCCCGUCGCUCUCAUUUAUUUGAGAUAAGUCGUAACAAAGUAGAUUUACUGGAAAGUGAAUCUAGUAUUAAU
RNAcentral lists this non-coding RNA (810 nucleotides) under Abscondita chinensis. Lineage: Eukaryota; Metazoa; Arthropoda; Insecta; Coleoptera; Lampyridae. The record is from RNAcentral.